Molecule: long non-coding RNA, 144 nt
Filed under: Panthera tigris altaica (Amur tiger)
Lineage: Eukaryota; Metazoa; Chordata; Mammalia; Carnivora; Felidae
Description: TTC28 antisense RNA 1 conserved region 2 (ENSPTIG00000000499.1)
Rfam family: TTC28 antisense RNA 1 conserved region 2
Source: RNAcentral
AAAGUGGGAGAAUGAGGGAAUAUUGAAGAGAACUAGAAAGCAGCAAAGACAUGAACCAUUACCCCAAAAUGAAAAAGGACAUACAGAGAAAUGACAAAAAGGAUGUUACAAAUAAACAACUAACAGAUUGUGUGGCAUAGUCUU